GCCGGGUUCAAUCCUAAAGGCCUGGGUAAACUAAGAAACAUUGUUGCGGAAACAUUUGUGAUUCUCGAUGUUUCCACAAAUGUUUCCCUGUUUGCCCACGCGUGGAAACAUUGUUGCGGAAACAAAAUUUGCUUCCCGAGAAGCAAAAAUGUUUCCUAGCAAAUUCAGAAACAUUUGAUGUUUCCUAGAGUUUGCCCACUCUGGGAAACAUGGCAAAACAUUGGCAGGAAACAAUGUUUCCUAGUUUGCCCAGGGCUUUAAUUGGUCGUACCUCUACUCAGAGUCUUAAAAUAAUUG
Molecule: non-coding RNA, 297 nt
Organism: Paramuricea clavata
Lineage: Eukaryota; Metazoa; Cnidaria; Anthozoa; Malacalcyonacea; Plexauridae
Source: the annotation of a GenBank genome assembly